AUUUCCUAUUUUCCCAUUCGGACCAAUUUUUCAUUGUCUAUUUUCAUGGCUAAAGCCCAAAAAUGCAUAUCUUCGAUUGUGACUUUUCAAAAUGUUUAUUUUUUUUAAAGAACACUCUCAUUUUUCAUUGAAAGUCUCUGUGAAUUUCUUUCACUCAUUCACAUUUAUUUACAGAGAAUUUCAAGAAGAUGUUUUGUCUGGUUGCCUUUUAAAAAACUAACACAUAAUGGAAGAUUUUUAGCAUUAUCAAGAAAAACAACAAUAACAGCUGGCGUGAAAAUGAGCGCUGAUAAGAGUCAGCAUACGGCUAAGAUUCUCUCUGGAACAGCCAUCUCUAAGUACGUUGCCAGCUUCUUUGGUUACCUAAUUGCUAAUUAUCUGUCAGAACUCAAAAUCAAUAAAAAUCCAUAAUUUUUCUUAUCAAUUCCAUAAUUGAAUAUUUUUUGCUUAAGAAUGAUACUUUUAGAAAAAUUCAAGUUGGUUUUAUUUUGGAAAAUCAAAUCCUAAGCAAAAAUUUUGAGAUGUAGUAAUCAAGACACUUUUUUUCUAUUCCCAGUAGUGUCCCAUCUCUUAAAAAAAAAAAAAAAAAAAAAAAAAAAAA
Molecule: non-coding RNA, 601 nt
Organism: Bemisia tabaci
Lineage: Eukaryota; Metazoa; Arthropoda; Insecta; Hemiptera; Aleyrodidae
Source: RefSeq, a predicted model, not a curated record